This is a long non-coding RNA of Onychostruthus taczanowskii (white-rumped snowfinch), 451 nucleotides long. RefSeq lists it as uncharacterized. The record is from RefSeq and is a predicted model, not a curated record. The transcript is spliced from 2 exons. NCBI's taxonomy places the organism in Eukaryota, Metazoa, Chordata, Aves, Passeriformes, Passeridae.
GCCCGCAGGGCGUGCGGCCACAGGGCUGGCAGCGCCCGUGCGGGGCAGCUGUGCCGCCUGGGGCCGCCACAGCCUCCUCUGUGCUUCCAGUGAUCUUCGGCGGAACCUGAAGAGGCAGCAGGAAGAGCUCCAGCUCAAGCCGUCAGGCCCUUCAAGCAGCCAGCAAAGACAACAGCCCAUCCUGCUCCAACCUGCAUAUUCAAGCUAAGUUUUGCCAAGGAGCUGCAGAACUAAGGUCAUCUUCCAAACUGAGAGAACCAAUGUCCCUAGAAGAGGACCAUGAGACCCAGAAGGGAACACCUCCCCACCUCAUAGUGCCGCUGGAGCUCCAGGCUUAGCUGAUGCUGAUCCCUCCCUCUGGCUCUCAGAGCCUAGCCAUCCCCUUUAUUUCCUCCCAGCCUACUCCACUGCUUUGCUUUCAUUUAAUAAACUCUUUGGCUUCUUCACUUUA